Molecule: ribosomal RNA, 374 nt
Filed under: uncultured bacterium
Lineage: Bacteria
Description: bacterial SSU rRNA
Rfam family: Bacterial small subunit ribosomal RNA
Source: RNAcentral
AUACGUAGGGAGCGAGCGUUGUCCGGAUUUACUGGGUGUAAAGGGUGCGUAGGCGGCUGAGCAAGUCAGGUGUGAAAACCAUCGGCUUAACUGAUGGACUGCAUUUGAAACUGCUUGGCUUGAGUGGAGCAGAGGCAGGCGGAAUUCCCGGUGUAGCGGUGAAAUGCGUAGAGAUCGGGAGGAACACCAGUGGCGAAGGCGGCCUGCUGGGCUUUAACUGACGCUGAGGCACGAAAGCAUGGGUAGCAAACAGGAUUAGAUACCCUGGUAGUCCACGCCGUAAACUAUGAAUACUAGGUAUGGGGGAGCGAUACCUCCGUGCCGCAGUCAACGCAUUAAGUAUUCCACCUGGGGAGUACGAUCGCAAGAUUAAA